Myotis lucifugus (little brown bat) is the source of this 534-nucleotide non-coding RNA. The record is from the annotation of a RefSeq genome assembly. NCBI's taxonomy places the organism in Eukaryota, Metazoa, Chordata, Mammalia, Chiroptera, Vespertilionidae.
AUGGCCUGGACUCCUCUGCUCCUCGUGCUCCUCUCUCACUGCACAGGGUCCCUCUCCCAGCCUGUGCUGACUCAGCCGCCCUCCCUCUCUGCAUCUCCGGGAGCCACAGCCAGACUCACCUGCACCCUGAGCAGUGGCUCCAAUGUUGGCAGCUAUGCUAUAGGCUGGCACCAGCAGAAUCCUGGGAGCCCUCCCCGGUACCUCCUGUUCUACCACACAGACUCAAAUAAGGGCCAGGGCUCCGGGGUCCCCAGCCGCUUCUCUGGAUCCAAAGACGCCUCGGCCAAUGCGGGGCUCCUGCUCAUCUCGGGGCUUCAGCCUGAGGACGAGGCUGACUAUUACUGUGAAACAUGGGAUGGCAUCUCUAAGACUCACACAGUGGCCCAGACCCACAGGGAAAAUUCCAGGAUGAAGUCAUUCCGUGUUUACCACGAGGAGUUACAUAGAGAACACGACCGCCUUCCCAAGAUGCUCGAUAGAGACAGCCUCACCAUGAAGGGACCCAGAGGACCUGUGGACAGUAGGAGGACCUGA